UUGCCAUGUCCUCCAAACAGACCGUUCCACUGCAGGAAUGACAGAGUAUGUCUGCGGACCGAACAAAUCUGCAACGGAGUGAAUGACUGUGGCGACAAUUCAGACGAAGUUGACUGUGCGGACGUGGUCAAAAGGCCGAGGCCAUGCGGGAAGUCCGAAUUCUCCUGUGCCAAUCACCGCUGCAUCCCGGCCGAUCUGCAGUGCGACUUCUUUGACGAUUGCGAAGACGGCGGAUCGGAUGAGCACGACUGCAAGGCAUAUUAUGUAGAUUCUGGUGCGUGUCGAGAACGGGCCGACUUGUGCGGAGACGACGCUUUCUGCAACCAUACAAAAACACCCUCAGUCUGCCAAUGCAAAGUCGGAUUUCAGAGGAACCAGAAGAACAAACAAUGUGAAGAGGUGAACGAGUGUCUGCGGUUCGGAAGCUGCUCGCAGUAUUGCACCAACACCAAGGGCUCGUACAAGUGCACUUGUGACCGAAACUUCAAGGAGAUCGAUGGGGAAUGCAUCAC
Molecule: long non-coding RNA, 512 nt
Organism: Sinocyclocheilus grahami
Lineage: Eukaryota; Metazoa; Chordata; Actinopteri; Cypriniformes; Cyprinidae
Exons: 4
Source: RefSeq, a predicted model, not a curated record